Molecule: non-coding RNA, 73 nt
Organism: Trichonephila clavipes
Lineage: Eukaryota; Metazoa; Arthropoda; Arachnida; Araneae; Nephilidae
Source: the annotation of a GenBank genome assembly
GUCCCUGCAGCGCAAUGGACAGUGCGUUGGAAUUUUAAUCCAAAGGUCGUAGGAUCGAAUCCCACCUGGGAUG